CUGGCGGCGUGCCUAAUACAUGCAAGUCGAACGGUCUUUCUAUGGAAGCUUGCUUCCACUGAGAAGAUAGUGGCGAACGGGUGAGUAACACGUGGGUAACCUGCCCAUAAGAGGGGGGAUAACAUCCGGAAACGGGUGCUAAUACCGCAUAGUUUUCUUGAUCGCAUGAUCGGGAAAGGAAAGACGGCCUUUGUGCUGUCGCUUAUGGAUGGACCCGCGGCGUAUUAGUUAGUUGGUGAGGUAACGGCUCACCAAGACGAUGAUACGUAGCCGACCUGAGAGGGUGAUCGGCCACAUUGGGACUGAGACACGGCCCAAACUCCUACGGGAGGCAGCAGUAGGGAAUCUUCCGCAAUGGACGAAAGUCUGACGGAGCAACGCCGCGUGAGUGAAGAAAGGGUUUUCGGAUCGUAAAACUCUGUUGUCAGAGAAGAACAAGUUGGAGAGUAACUGCUCCAGCCUUGACGGUAUCUGACCAGAAAGCCACGGCUAACUACGUGCCAGCAGCCGC
This 511-nucleotide ribosomal RNA is filed under the name uncultured bacterium. Its description in RNAcentral is "bacterial SSU rRNA". It matches the Rfam family "Bacterial small subunit ribosomal RNA", at positions 36 to 518 of the family's 1533-position model. The record is from RNAcentral.